Molecule: ribosomal RNA, 20 nt
Filed under: Helosis cayennensis var. cayennensis
Lineage: Eukaryota; Viridiplantae; Streptophyta; Magnoliopsida; Santalales; Balanophoraceae
Description: partial 26S ribosomal RNA
Source: RNAcentral
GUACCCCUGUGAGUGAAUUC